GGUGAUGGAUGCCUUGAGAUGGAGAGCCUGAGGCGAUGAGGUGGCACCCCGGGGCGGCCAGGGGAGUUCUGAGGGGAUGAAGACCCUGAGGGGAUUUGGGGGACACCUUGAAGGGUCCCUGAGGUGGUGAGGGGACACCCCAAGGCGUCCUUGAGGUGAUGGGGGGCAAGGAAGUUCUGAGGUGAUGAAGACCCUGAAGGGACACCCCAAAGGGACUCUGAGGUGAUGGAGACCCUCAGGUGAUGGGGGAACACCCCAAAGAGUCCCUGAGGUGGUGAGGGAACACCUCAAAAGGUCUCUGAGGUGAUUGAGGGAUACCCCAAAGGUUCCCUGAGGUGGGUCCCUCAGGGACCCUGAGGUGAUGGAGAACCUGGGCUGGGGGGCUCUGAGAUAAUGGGGUCACACCCCACAUGGCCCCUGGGGUGACAUGAGAUUAAAAAAAUGCCAUGAGAACAGAACAAAAGCCCCAAAAAUGCUCUGGUGGCAGUGAGACUUGGGACUGGCUCUGCCACUGAAGCACUAGUGACCCUGAUAACAUCACCUGUAUAAAUAAAUAAAUAUAAAUAAUAAAAAAAAAUCCCUCUUGGGAAUGAAUUUCGUUUCCAAUUUAGGGAAUGAAACAACACUGACAGAGAUUUUUGAGAGGUGCAGAAGCAGAAAAAAAAGGAUCCACGAUGGAGCAGGAUCUCAGUGCAGCCACCUCUACCUCUGAGAAAACAACCAACCUUCCAAACUGGGAUUUGACAGCCAAAAUGAGGAUUUUUUCAGGGAAAAAAGAGUAAUUUUGGCCGUCAAGGGAAUGAAAGGAGCAGCUGAAUCCCUCAUUUCCAGAAAGCAGCAGCAAGUUUUGCUGGGACAGAAAGGACUAAAUGCUCCUCAUCCUCAUUCUCUGGAAAGCCACUUUUUACUUCAUCUAAAAAACCUGUUUUAAGACAAAUUCUUUCUGUUUUCUUUGCUGUUCAGACCCUUAUGGGCAAGGAACCAACAAUUUUUUUUUUUUUUUGCUUUUAUUGCCCAAAUCCUUCCUUAUUCCAUGGAAUCUGAAGCCAUCAGGACUUCUCAAAUGGUGAGCAGGGACAGGAUAUUUAUUAUCUACCUUAAAAACAAUGGGAUAAAGCAGCUGGAAUUCUCUCAGUGCCAGGCAAAGCUCCUGCCAGGCUUAUUUAUUUUAUUUUUUAAUUUAUCCAGAGCCUUCAUUGGGAGGCAGCAGAUUUUGACACUCCCAUCAGCUACAGAGGAUGAAGGCAAGGUAAGAAUGUGCCAGGAACAGGGAAAUUAGAGGAUUCCUCGAUUAUUUUUCACAGGGAAAUGUUUGCUUUGGGGGCAUAAAGCUCUUGAAGCAAAUCCAAGGCAAGACUGGAGAUUUACAACACAACCCUCACUGUGCAGGGACAACUCCUCCCAAAAUCCAGCCUUUUAUUGGGAUGAAAUACAACAAAACACCGAUGUGGAUAUAAAAAAUAGAAAUUGAAGAGAUGUCUGUAGUCUUCUGGAAUUCCUCUUUUCCCUGCGUGAAA
Molecule: long non-coding RNA, 1517 nt
Organism: Passer domesticus (house sparrow)
Lineage: Eukaryota; Metazoa; Chordata; Aves; Passeriformes; Passeridae
Exons: 2
Source: RefSeq, a predicted model, not a curated record